This 232-nucleotide ribosomal RNA is filed under the name uncultured bacterium. RNAcentral describes it as "partial 16S ribosomal RNA". It matches the Rfam family "Bacterial small subunit ribosomal RNA", at positions 118 to 348 of the family's 1533-position model. The record is from RNAcentral.
UGAGCAACCUGCCCUUGACCCUGGAAUAACAGCUGGAAACAGCUGCUAAUACCGGAUACGACCUCCGAUGGCAUCAUCUGGAGGUGGAAAGCUCCGACGGUCAAGGAUGGGCUCGCGGCCUAUCAGCUUGUUGGUGAGGUAACGGCUCACCAAGGCUUCGACGGGUAGCCGGCCUGAGAGGGCGACCGGCCACACUGGGACUGAGACACGGCCCAGACCUCCGUAGGGACGG